UGGGGAAUAUUGCACAAUGGGCGCAAGCCUGAUGCAGCCAUGCCGCGUGUAUGAAGAAGGCCUUCGGGUUGUAAAGUACUUUCAGCGGGGAGGAAGGGGUUAAGGUUAAUAACCUUAACCAUUGACGUUACCCGCAGAAGAAGCACCGGCUAACUCCGUG
RNAcentral lists this ribosomal RNA (160 nucleotides) under uncultured bacterium. RNAcentral's name for it is "partial 16S ribosomal RNA". It matches the Rfam family "Bacterial small subunit ribosomal RNA", at positions 355 to 507 of the family's 1533-position model. The record is from RNAcentral.